UGGGGCUGUGACUCAAUGGUAGAGGAUCUGCUUGGCAUGCAGAAGGUCACAGGUUCAAUCCCUGACAUCUCAA
Molecule: transfer RNA, 73 nt
Filed under: Sphaerodactylus townsendi
Lineage: Eukaryota; Metazoa; Chordata; Lepidosauria; Squamata; Sphaerodactylidae
Description: tRNA-Ala
Rfam family: tRNA
About the family: Transfer RNA (tRNA) molecules are approximately 80 nucleotides in length. Their secondary structure includes four short double-helical elements and three loops (D, anti-codon, and T loops).
Source: RNAcentral